GACUAUAUAGCCAAAUGGUUAAGGCGGUAGUCUGCAAAACUACAGAUGUAAGUUCGAAUCUUACUAUAGUCU
RNAcentral lists this transfer RNA (72 nucleotides) under Caudoviricetes sp. RNAcentral's name for it is "tRNA-Cys". It matches the Rfam family "tRNA". Rfam says of the family: Transfer RNA (tRNA) molecules are approximately 80 nucleotides in length. Their secondary structure includes four short double-helical elements and three loops (D, anti-codon, and T loops). Further hydrogen bonds mediate the characteristic L-shaped molecular structure. tRNAs have two regions of fundamental functional importance: the anti-codon, which is responsible for specific mRNA codon recognition, and the 3' end, to which the tRNAs corresponding amino acid is attached (by aminoacyl-tRNA synthetases). tRNAs cope with the degeneracy of the genetic code in two manners: having more than one tRNA (with a specific anti-codon) for a particular amino acid; and 'wobble' base-pairing, i.e. permitting non-standard base-pairing at the 3rd anti-codon position. Lineage: Duplodnaviria; Heunggongvirae; Uroviricota; Caudoviricetes. The record is from RNAcentral.